CAUGGUUUUUUGAAAAUAAUUUAAAAUUUGAUCUGCUCAAUGAAUAAUUAAAUUGCCGCAGUAUAUUAACUGUGCAAAGGUAGCAUAAUAAUUAGUUUCUUGAUUAGAAGCUGGAAUGAAUGAUUGGACGAUAAAAUAGCUGUCUCUGAAUAAUUUUUUAAUGAAUUUUAUUUUUAAGUUAAAAAGCUUAAAUUAUUUUAAAAGACAAGAAGACCCUAUAGAGUUUAAUAAAAUUUAUUAUUUAUAAUUUUAGUAUUUUUUUAUAUUAAUUUUAUUUAGUUGGGGUGAUUUGAAAAUUUAAAUAAUUUUUUAAAGUUUUAAUUUUUAAUUAAAAAAUUCUUAAUCUAUUUUUUUAAAAAUAAAAUAAAUUACCUUAGGGAUAACAGCGUAAUUUUUCUUUAAAGUUCAUAUUAAAAGAAAAGUUUGCGACCUCGAUGUUGGAUUAAAAUUAAUUUUUGGUGCAGUAGCUGAAGAAUUAAGUCUGUUCGACUUUUAAAAUUUUACAUGAUCUGAGUUUAAACCGGUGUAAGCCAGGUUGGAUUCUAUCUUUAGUUUUAUUAUGUAUUUUAGUACGAAAGGACCAUAUAUAUAUUAUAUUAAUUG
This 603-nucleotide ribosomal RNA is filed under the name Benibotarus spinicoxis. RNAcentral describes it as "partial 16S ribosomal RNA". The stretch from base 379 to 537 matches the Rfam family "Bacterial large subunit ribosomal RNA", at positions 2473 to 2632 of the family's 2925-position model. The record is from RNAcentral. Lineage: Eukaryota; Metazoa; Arthropoda; Insecta; Coleoptera; Lycidae.